GCUGGGCCUGUGGCCGAUUAGCUAGUUGGUGUGGUAAGAGCGCACCAAGGCGACGAUCGGUAGCUGGUCUGAGAGGACGAGCAGCCACACUGGGAUUGAGAACGGCCCAGACUCCUACGGGGGGCAGCAGUGAGGAAUUUUCGGCAAUGGGCGCAAGCCUGACCGAGCAACGCCGCGUGCAGGACGACGCGUUUCGGCGUGUAAACUGCUUUUCUGUGGGACGAGCAAGGACGGUACCACAGGAAGAAGCCCCGGCUAACUACGUGCCAGCAGCCGCGGUAAGACGUAGGGGGCGAGCGUUGUCCGGAGUUACUGGGCGUAAAGGGCCCGCAGGCGGGAGGGUGCGUUUGGUGUGACAGCUCGUGGCUUCACUACGAGAGGAUACCAAAGACGGCCGUUCUUGAGGGCCAGAGAGGGACCUGGAAGUCCGGGUGGAGCGGUGAAAUGCGUAGAGAUCCGGAGG
This 463-nucleotide ribosomal RNA is filed under the name uncultured Chloroflexota bacterium. RNAcentral's name for it is "bacterial SSU rRNA". It matches the Rfam family "Bacterial small subunit ribosomal RNA", at positions 224 to 704 of the family's 1533-position model. Lineage: Bacteria; Bacillati; Chloroflexota. The record is from RNAcentral.